GAGGCAUCUGUCUGCGAGGCGAGAGUGCUAAUCACUACACCACUGUACCGUGUCAACUGCUGCCAUUAGAAUGUCUUAUGACUCCAAUUUAGAAAAAAUUUCUUUUUUUAUUCAAAAGUACGUUUUCUCACCGGCGUCCCCCUUCAUAUGAUUAAAGAUAGAAUUUCAUGACUUUUUGCAAAAUAUUUGGGGAUUCUUUUCAGAUACUGAAGUUUUAAAAAAAAAUGUUCCAUUACUUUUACAAGUGUGGAGUGAAUCCCAUGUAGGCUUAGCCUACACCACCUAACACAGAGGAUCCACUGGGUGGAGUUGAACCCGAGGCAUCUGUCUGGGAGGCGAGAGUGCUAACCACUACACCACUGUACCGUGUCAACUGCUGCCAUUAGAAUGUCUAAUUACUCCAAUUUAGAAAAAAUUCAGAUUUUUAUUCAAAAGUACGUUUUCUCACCGGCGUCCCCCUUCAUAUGACUAAAGAAAGAAUGUCAUGACUUUUUGCAAAAUAUUUGGGGAUUCUUUUCAGAUGCUGAAGUUUUAAAAAACUUUUUUCCAUUACUUUUACAAGUAUGGAGUGAAUCCCAUGCAGGCUUAGCCUACGCCACCUAACACAAUGGCGCCACUGGGUGGAGUUGAACCCGAGGCAUCUGUCUGGGAGGCGAGAGUGCUAACCACUACACCACUGUACCGUGUCAACUGCUGCCAUUAGAAUGUCUUAUGACUUCAAUUUAGAAAAAAUUCGGAGUUUUUAUUCAAAAGUAGGUUUUCUCACCGUCGUCCCCCUUCAGAUGACUCAAGAUAGAAUUUCAUGACAUUUGCAAAAUAUUUUGGCAUUUAUUUCAGACUUGGAAGUUUAAAAAAAUUUUUUUCAUUACUUUUACAAGUAUGGAGUGAAGCCCAUGCAGGCUUAGCCUACACCACCUAACACAGUGGCGCCACUGGGUGGAGUUGAACCCGAGGCAUCUGUCUGGGAGGCGAGAGUGCUAACCACUACACCACUGUACCGUGUCAACUGCCUGCCU
Molecule: long non-coding RNA, 1016 nt
Organism: Gasterosteus aculeatus aculeatus (three-spined stickleback)
Lineage: Eukaryota; Metazoa; Chordata; Actinopteri; Perciformes; Gasterosteidae
Source: Ensembl